RNAcentral lists this ribosomal RNA (99 nucleotides) under Vibrio parahaemolyticus. The record is from RNAcentral. Lineage: Bacteria; Pseudomonadati; Pseudomonadota; Gammaproteobacteria; Vibrionales; Vibrionaceae.
UUUGGACCCACCUGACUCCAUUCCGAACUCAGAAGUGAAACGAAAUAGCGCCGAUGGUAGUGUGGGGUUUCCCCAUGUGAGAGUAGGACAUCGCCAGGC